RNAcentral lists this ribosomal RNA (396 nucleotides) under uncultured bacterium. RNAcentral describes it as "bacterial SSU rRNA". It matches the Rfam family "Bacterial small subunit ribosomal RNA", at positions 28 to 429 of the family's 1533-position model. The record is from RNAcentral.
GACGAACGCUGGCGGCGUGCUUAACACAUACAAGUCGAGCGGUAAGGCCCUUUCGGGGGUACACGAGCGGCGAACGGGUGAGUAACACGUGGGUGACCUGCCUUUAGCUCUGGGAUAAGCCUGGGAAACUGGGUCUAAUACCGGAUACGACUCCGCGGUGCAUGCUGUGGGGUGGAAAGCCUUGUGCGGCUGGAGAUGGGCCCGCGGCCUAUCAGCUUGUUGGUGGGGUGAUGGCCUACCAAGGCGACGACGGGUAGCCGGCCUGAGAGGGCGACCGGCCACACUGGGACUGAGACACGGCCCAGACUCCUACGGGAGGCAGCAGUGGGGAAUCUUGCGCAAUGGGCGAAAGCCUGACGCAGCGACGCCGCGUGAGGGAUGACGGCCUGGUGUAAC